ACGCUAGCGAUAGGCUUAACACAUGCAAGUCGAGGGGCAGCAUGGUCUUAGCUUGCUAAGACUGAUGGUGACCGGCGCACGGGUGCGUAACGCGUAUGCAACUUGCCUCACAGAGGGGGAUAACCCGUCGAAAGACGGACUAAUACCGCGUACACUCUAUGUUGGGCAUCCAAUGUAGAGGAGAUGAAAUUCGCUGUGAGAUAGGCAUGCGUCCCAUUAGCUAGUUGGUGAGGUAACGGCUCACCAAGGCGACGAUGGGUAGGGGAACUGAGAGGUUGAACCCCCACACUGGUACUGAGACACGGACCAGACUCCUACGGGAGGCAGCAGUGAGGAAUAUUGGUCAAUGGGCGAGAGCCUGAACCAGCCAAGUCGCGUGAAGGAUGACUGUCUUAUGGAUUGUAAACUUCUUUUAUACGGGAAUAACAAGAGUCACGUGUGACUCCCUGCAUGUACCGUAUGAAUAAGCAUCGGCUGACUCCGUGCCAGCAGCCGCGGUAAUACGGAGGAUGCGAGCGUUAUCCGGAUUUAUUGGGUUUAAAGGGUGCGUAGGCGGCCUGUUAAGUCAGCGGUGAAAUCUAGGAGCUUAACUCCUAAAUUGCCAUUGAUACUGGCGGGCUUGAGUGUAGAUGAGGUAGGCGGAAUGCGUGGUGUAGCGGUGGAAUGCAUAGAUAUCACGCAGAACUCCGAUUGCGAAGGCAGCUUACUAAGGUACAACUGACGCUGAAGCACGAAAGCGUGGGUAUCAAACAGGAUUAGAUACCCUGGUAGUCCACGCAGUAAACGAUGAUAACUGGGCGUAUGCGAUAUACAGUAUGCUCCUAAGCGAAAGCGUUAAGUUAUCCACCUGGGGAGUACGCCGGCAACGGUGAAACUCAAAGGAAUUGACGGGGGCCCGCACAAGCGGAGG
Molecule: ribosomal RNA, 910 nt
Filed under: uncultured bacterium
Lineage: Bacteria
Description: bacterial SSU rRNA
Rfam family: Bacterial small subunit ribosomal RNA
Source: RNAcentral